Molecule: ribosomal RNA, 1363 nt
Filed under: Microbacterium sp.
Lineage: Bacteria; Bacillati; Actinomycetota; Actinomycetes; Micrococcales; Microbacteriaceae
Description: bacterial SSU rRNA
Rfam family: Bacterial small subunit ribosomal RNA
Source: RNAcentral
GUACGGUGAACACCGGUAGACUUGCUCUGUGGGAUCAGUGGCGAACGGGUGAGUAACACGUGAGCAACCUGCCCCUGACUCUGGGAUAAGCGCUGGAAACGGCGUCUAAUACUGGAUAUGUGACGUGACCGCAUGGUCUGCGUUUGGAAAGAUUUUUCGGUUGGGGAUGGGCUCGCGGCCUAUCAGCUUGUUGGUGAGGUAAUGGCUCACCAAGGCGUCGACGGGUAGCCGGCCUGAGAGGGUGACCGGCCACACUGGGACUGAGACACGGCCCAGACUCCUACGGGAGGCAGCAGUGGGGAAUAUUGCACAAUGGGCGGAAGCCUGAUGCAGCAACGCCGCGUGAGGGAUGACGGCCUUCGGGUUGUAAACCUCUUUUAGCAGGGAAGAAGCGAAAGUGACGGUACCUGCAGAAAAAGCGCCGGCUAACUACGUGCCAGCAGCCGCGGUAAUACGUAGGGCGCAAGCGUUAUCCGGAAUUAUUGGGCGUAAAGAGCUCGUAGGCGGUUUGUCGCGUCUGCUGUGAAAUCCCGAGGCUCAACCUCGGGCCUGCAGUGGGUACGGGCAGACUAGAGUGCGGUAGGGGAGAUUGGAAUUCCUGGUGUAGCGGUGGAAUGCGCAGAUAUCAGGAGGAACACCGAUGGCGAAGGCAGAUCUCUGGGCCGUAACUGACGCUGAGGAGCGAAAGGGUGGGGAGCAAACAGGCUUAGAUACCCUGGUAGUCCACCCCGUAAACGUUGGGAACUAGUUGUGGGGUCCAUUCCACGGAUUCCGUGACGCAGCUAACGCAUUAAGUUCCCCGCCUGGGGAGUACGGCCGCAAGGCUAAAACUCAAAGGAAUUGACGGGGACCCGCACAAGCGGCGGAGCAUGCGGAUUAAUUCGAUGCAACGCGAAGAACCUUACCAAGGCUUGACAUAUACGAGAACGGGCCAGAAAUGGUCAACUCUUUGGACACUCGUAAACAGGUGGUGCAUGGUUGUCGUCAGCUCGUGUCGUGAGAUGUUGGGUUAAGUCCCGCAACGAGCGCAACCCUCGUUCUAUGUUGCCAGCACGUAAUGGUGGGAACUCAUGGGAUACUGCCGGGGUCAACUCGGAGGAAGGUGGGGAUGACGUCAAAUCAUCAUGCCCCUUAUGUCUUGGGCUUCACGCAUGCUACAAUGGCCGGUACAAAGGGCUGCAAUACCGUGAGGUGGAGCGAAUCCCAAAAAGCCGGUCCCAGUUCGGAUUGAGGUCUGCAACUCGACCUCAUGAAGUCGGAGUCGCUAGUAAUCGCAGAUCAGCAACGCUGCGGUGAAUACGUUCCCGGGUCUUGUACACACCGCCCGUCAAGUCAUGAAAGUCGGUAACACCUGAAGCCGGGG